CCUACGGGCGGCAGCAGUGAGGAAUAUUGGUCAAUGGGCGGGAGCCUGAACCAGCCAAGUCGCGUGAAGGAAGAAGGUACUUAGUAUUGUAAACUUCUUUUGUCGGGGAACAAAGGCGGAGACGCGUCUCCGGAUGAGUGUACCCGAAGAAAAAGCAUCGGCUAACUCCGUGCCAGCCGCCGCGGUAAUACGGAGGAUGCGAGCGUUAUCCGGAUUUAUGGGGUUUAAAGGGUGCGCAGGCGGGAGAUCAAGUCAGCGGUAAAAUGUCGGGGCUCAACCCCGGCCGGCCGUUGAAACUGGUUUUGUAGAGUUGGAGAGAAGUAUGCGGAAUUCGUGGUGUAGCGGUGAAAUGCAUAGAUAUCACGAAGAACUCCGAUUGCGAAGGCAGCAUACCGGCUCCAUACUGACGCUGAGGCACGAAAGCGUGGGGAUCGAACAGGAUUAGAUACCCUGGUAGUC
This 459-nucleotide ribosomal RNA is filed under the name uncultured bacterium. RNAcentral's name for it is "partial 16S ribosomal RNA". It matches the Rfam family "Bacterial small subunit ribosomal RNA", at positions 338 to 795 of the family's 1533-position model. The record is from RNAcentral.